This 71-nucleotide transfer RNA is filed under the name Marmota monax (woodchuck). RNAcentral describes it as "tRNA.Ala". The record is from RNAcentral. Lineage: Eukaryota; Metazoa; Chordata; Mammalia; Rodentia; Sciuridae.
GGGGUUGUGGCUCAGCGGUAGAGUGCUCGCUUAGCGCAUGCGAGACCCUGGGUUCGAUCCUCAGCACCACA